RNAcentral lists this ribosomal RNA (163 nucleotides) under Stauracanthus genistoides. Its description in RNAcentral is "5.8S ribosomal RNA". It matches the Rfam family "5.8S ribosomal RNA". Rfam says of the family: 5.8S ribosomal RNA (5.8S rRNA) is a component of the large subunit of the eukaryotic ribosome. It is transcribed by RNA polymerase I as part of the 45S precursor that also contains 18S and 28S rRNA. Lineage: Eukaryota; Viridiplantae; Streptophyta; Magnoliopsida; Fabales; Fabaceae. The record is from RNAcentral.
GAAAGACUCUCGGCAACGGAUAUCUCGGCUCUUGCAUCGAUGAAGAACGUAGCGAAAUGCGAUACUUGGUGUGAAUUGCAGAAUCCCGUGAACCAUCGAGUCUUUGAACGCAAGUUGCGCCCGAAGCCAUUAGGUUGAGGGCACGCCUGCCUGGGUGUUGCAC